CAGCCGCCACGGUAAUACGUAGGGUGCAAGCGUUAAUCGGAAUUACUGGGCGUAAAGCGUGCGCAGGCGGUUAUAUAAGACAGAUGUGAAAUCCCCGGGCUCAACCUGGGAACUGCAUUUGUGACUGUAUAGCUAGAGUACGGCAGAGGGGGAUGGAAUUCCGCGUGUAGCAGUGAAAUGCGUAGAUAUGCGGAGGAACACCGAUGGCGAAGGCAAUCCCCUGGGCCUGUACUGACGCUCAUGCACGAAAGCGUGGGGAGCAAACAGGAUUAGAGACCCCAGUAGUCCCUGUCUCUUAUAC
Molecule: ribosomal RNA, 301 nt
Filed under: uncultured bacterium
Lineage: Bacteria
Description: partial 16S ribosomal RNA
Rfam family: Bacterial small subunit ribosomal RNA
Source: RNAcentral